GGACGGGUGAGUAACGCGUGAGGAACCUGCCUUUCAGUGGGGGACAACAGUUGGAAACGACUGCUAAUACCGCAUAAUGUGUUUUGGGGGCAUCCCCGGAACACCAAAGAUUUAUUGCUGAAAGAUGGCCUCGCGUCUGAUUAGAUAGUUGGUGGGGUAACGGCCUACCAAGUCGACGAUCAGUAGCCGGACUGAGAGGUUGAACGGCCACAUUGGGACUGAGAUACGGCCCAGACUCC
This 239-nucleotide ribosomal RNA is filed under the name uncultured Oscillospiraceae bacterium. Its description in RNAcentral is "partial 16S ribosomal RNA". It matches the Rfam family "Bacterial small subunit ribosomal RNA", at positions 100 to 339 of the family's 1533-position model. The record is from RNAcentral. Lineage: Bacteria; Bacillati; Bacillota; Clostridia; Eubacteriales; Oscillospiraceae.